Molecule: ribosomal RNA, 517 nt
Filed under: Schistosoma japonicum
Lineage: Eukaryota; Metazoa; Platyhelminthes; Trematoda; Strigeidida; Schistosomatidae
Description: partial small subunit ribosomal RNA
Source: RNAcentral
UAUACAAUUUAACCCUGGUUGAAGUUGAAAUAUAUCUAAUGAUGCUAUAUACGUUUAUUAUAUUAUGCUAAUCCUUGAGCAUAUAAAUUUGAGGUGGUUGUAGUAGUGAGAUCUAUCGUUAUAAAGAAAUUUAGUGAUGGUUGUUAGAUAGUAGAAGAGGCUAAAGCACAGUGCCAGCAGCCGCGGUUAUACUGUAAUUCUUCUUAUUUCUUUUUUGGUUAAAACUUUUAUUGAAAUUUAAAUAAAAUUGGUUGGUUAAAUAGGUUUUUUUUUGAGAAUACUUCAAUGAUGUGUAAAGUUCCAGUAUAAAGACAGGGAUUAGAUACCCCUUUAUUAGGAUAAAAAAUUUUUGUCCACGGUUUCAAACUGAAAGGGUUUGGCAGCAAACUAAAUUCUUCCGGGGGAAGGUGCAUAUUAAAGAGAUGAUCCGCUUAUUAAUUUACUAUAUCUAGUGUUAGUGUAUAUCCGUUUGUAUAUUCACGCUUAGAGGUCAUAAGUGGGUAAAUAUUAAAUAAUU